GGACGAACGCUGGCGGCGCGCUUAACACAUGCACGUCGAACGGAAAGGCCUGCUUUCCCUUGUGGAUUGCGGGUACUCGAGUGGCGAACGGGUGAGUAACACGUGCGUGAUCUGCCCCCAACUUGGGUAUAAGCCUGGGAAACUGGGUCUAAUUCCCGAUAGGACUGCAGGGUGGUGCCUGUGGUGGAAAACGAUUUUCUAGUGGUUGGGGAUGGGCUCGCGGCCUAUCAGCUUGGUGGUGGGGUAAUGGCCUACCAAGGCGGCGACGGGUAGCCGGCCAGGGAGAGUGGGCGGCCACGUGGGGACGGAGAUACGGCCAAGGAUCCUACGGGAGGCAGCAGUGGGGAAUAUUGCACAAUGGGCGGAAGCCUGAUGCAGCGACGCCGCGUGGGGGAUGACGGCCUUCGGGUUGUAAACUCCUUUCGACCGCGAGGAAGCCGCCUGGUUGGAAGGGUGGUGACGGUAGUGGUAGAAGAAGCACCGGCUAACUACGUG
Molecule: ribosomal RNA, 495 nt
Filed under: uncultured bacterium
Lineage: Bacteria
Description: partial 16S ribosomal RNA
Rfam family: Bacterial small subunit ribosomal RNA
Source: RNAcentral